Molecule: non-coding RNA, 223 nt
Organism: Pelobates cultripes (western spadefoot toad)
Lineage: Eukaryota; Metazoa; Chordata; Amphibia; Anura; Pelobatidae
Source: the annotation of a GenBank genome assembly
CUGCUCCUGAGCCAGCAGGGGGUAUGCGGGAUGUGAGAUGCUGACAAGUUUCCUGGUUCCCCUAACAGUAUGCUCCCCUGCGGACAUCCUUCCUGGAUCCACAAGCUGAGUCUGUCCCUGCCCUUCACUUUGGGCAGACUGUGGAUAAGUCUCCCUUUCUACUGAUGGAACCCCUGUCUCUCCCUCAAUUUCACUCCAUAUUCUCACACAAACAGAACCUUGG